UGAAAUUAGAAUCAACCACUAUUAAUAAACAUUAUCUUACAAACUCAGAUCAUCUUCGAUAAGAAGAAUCACUACCAGUCUACCUCAAUUAUGACUUACAACUGAAUCUCAUCAAUACAAUUCUAUCUAGAACCAACCUUGACAAUCUCCAUGGACAUUCCACUUGUCCUCUGGAUAUUCUAUAACUCUGACUCCUCGCUUAGCCUUAGCCAUACUCGCAACCUCAAUCAAGCAAUUCAUCUCUAAGCUUUUCUGAAAUGGUUAAAAAGGAAUAGCAAGGGUGAGCAACAAUGCUCAGCAAGUGUAUAUAAGCAACAAUAGUCCUGAAAUAUCUUAUCAGGGUUCACAAGUUCAGGAUAUGUAAUUGAAAACUUCACAAUUCUUAUCAGCAAUUGAAAUCAGAAUUCAAACUUACAGAAGAAUUGUCGAAUUGGAUUCAUCACAUUUUUACUUAAAAACCAAAGGUUAGGCUGCUGAUCAGUCACGCACUAACCCCGAACAUGGCACACAGCCCUGUUCUCUAUACUGGAUCCAAGGCACACAUUGGCCUAUAAUUGACCACGAAUCUGGUCUGACCACGAAUCUGGUCCACAUAUUUUAUAAAAACUAAUCCAAUUCUAACAAUUUAAAUCAAUAGACAAUUCAAUCAACAGAACAGAAUCAUAAUCAUUAUCAACAACAGAAAUAUUCCAAAUCAACUUUUGAGGAUCAACAUUUCAUAAACCACAGUCUGUCUUUUGAUAAAUCAUAGUUCAGGAAAUUCCUAACUAUUCAGUAUCCUCCAUUAUCGGCUAAGCAACUGAAUUUAGCCUGCUAAACCAGCAUGACAAUGGCGGGGUGAAUAAUUAAGAAGAUCCCAACUCAUUCUAGGUUCUAACUAUCACUGAGCAACCCAUGCUUCAAUGACGGUCUGAACUUCGAAUUAAUUUGUAAAGCUGGUAUUUUAAAAUCUUGAGGUUUGGAAAGGAUGGAUCAGAAUACUUGUAGUAGAAAUUGAGAGUAAUUAGGUGUUUGGCUUUUCAAAACUUGGAAGAAGAAAACAAUCAUGGGUUUCAUUCCCAGAAGUAAGAGUUUAUUUGAGAAGGGUUUCAGUAUAAACCAUAUCAUAAUCUUAACAGAGUAAUCAGAACAUGCAAUAUAGAUGAGGAAGGAUUUAGGAAAACUUGCCUUAAAUCCGAUUCCAGUCUCAUAUCUCAAUCUCAUCUUUCCACUUUCACACUCUAUGCAUAUCAUAGUCUCUAAACCAUCUUUGGUUAUACUCUAUUCGCCACACUGCUUCGUUUACUCGAUUCGUUCCUUAUUCGCUUUGUAACAUCGUUUGACCUUCUGAACGUCUUCGAUCGUAUCCGUCUCGUCCAAACCCUUUACGAGAAUAAGAUACUACCAUUAUCACUAAAUAAUCUAUUGAUUCUUAUCUCUACUUAUCAACUCAGUAGCAUAACCUAUCGCAUACACAUAUCACGUAUAUCGAUACCCACUUAUAUAACUCUUUAAACUCAUCAAAUAUCACUUAACACAUAAUCAUGCUUUGACUCUACCAUAUAGUCUAAUCAUAUUUCACAUAACAUAUUAUCAAUUAAAUAUCAUAUAAAUCUUAUCGAAAAUCCGACAUCGUCUCGUCUAUUUAUUAGACUAUCCACCUGUUAUCCUAUC
Molecule: long non-coding RNA, 1653 nt
Filed under: Daucus carota (carrot)
Lineage: Eukaryota; Viridiplantae; Streptophyta; Magnoliopsida; Apiales; Apiaceae
Description: long non-coding RNA (DCAR_LNC006705)
Source: RNAcentral